GAUGAACGCUGGCGGCGUGCCUAACACAUGCAAGUCGAGCGGGGCAUAUUCCUUCGGGGGUAUGUUCAGCGGCGGACGGGUGAGUAACGCGUGGAUAACCUGUCCUACUCUUCGGGAUAACAGCCNGGAAACGGCUGCUAACACCGGAUAAGCCCACAGAAUCGCAUGGUUCUGCGGGAAAAGGUUACGGAGUAGGAGGGGUCCGCGUCUGAUUAGAUAGUUGGUGGGGUAACGGCCUACCAAGUCUGCGAUCAGUGGCCGACCUGAGAGGGUGAUCGGCCACAUUGGGACUGAGACACGGCCCAAACUCCUGCGGGAGGCAGCAGUGGGGAAUAUUGCACAAUGGACGGAAGUCUGAUGCAGCAACGCCGCGUGAGGGAAGAAGGUUUUCGGAUCGUAAACCUCUAUCGAUAGGGACGAAAAAAAUGACGGUACCUAAGUAAGAAGCCCCGGCUAACUACGUGCCAGCAGCCGCGGUAAAACGUAGGGGGCAAGCGUUAUCCGGAAUUACUGGGUGUAAAGGGUGAGUAGGCGGCUACGCAAGUCAUAUGUGAAAGCCCACGGCUUAACCGUGGGACUGCAUAAGAAACUGUGUGGCUAGAGUACAGGAGAGGUAAGCGGAAUUNCCUUGUGUAGCGGUGAAAUGCGUAGAUAUAAGGAAGAACACCAGUGGCGAANGCGGCUUACUGGACUGAAACUGACGCUGAGUCACGAAAGCGUGGGGAGCGAACAGGAUUAGAUACCCUGGUAGUCCACGCGGUAAACGAUGAUAGCUAGGUGUCGGGUCGAGAGAUUCGGUGCCGGCGUAAACACAAUAAGCUAUCCACCUGGGGAGUACGGCCGCAAGGCUGAAACUCAAAGGAAUUGACGGG
RNAcentral lists this ribosomal RNA (872 nucleotides) under uncultured bacterium. Its description in RNAcentral is "bacterial SSU rRNA". It matches the Rfam family "Bacterial small subunit ribosomal RNA", at positions 28 to 917 of the family's 1533-position model. The record is from RNAcentral.